This 2142-nucleotide ribosomal RNA is filed under the name Campylobacter jejuni. Its description in RNAcentral is "partial 23S ribosomal RNA". It matches the Rfam family "Bacterial large subunit ribosomal RNA", at positions 1 to 2147 of the family's 2925-position model. The record is from RNAcentral. Lineage: Bacteria; Pseudomonadati; Campylobacterota; Epsilonproteobacteria; Campylobacterales; Campylobacteraceae.
AGGUAAGCUACUAAGAGCGAAUGGUGGAUGCCUUGACUGGUAAAGGCGAUGAAGGACGUACUAGACUGCGAUAAGCUACGGGGAGCUGUCAAGAAGCUUUGAUCCGUAGAUUUCCGAAUGGGGCAACCCAAUGUAUAGAGAUAUACAUUACCUAUAUAGGAGCGAACGAGGGGAAUUGAAACAUCUUAGUACCCUCAGGAAAAGAAAUCAAUAGAGAUUGCGUCAGUAGCGGCGAGCGAAAGCGCAAGAGGGCAAACCCAGUGCUUGCACUGGGGGUUGUAGGACUGCAAUGUGCAAGAGGUAAGUUUAGCAGAACAUUCUGGAAAGUAUAACCAUAGAGGGUGAUAGUCCCGUAUGCGAAAAACAAACCUUAGCUAGCAGUAUCCUGAGUAGGGCGGGACACGAGGAAUCCUGUCUGAAUCCGGGUCGACCACGAUCCAACCCUAAAUACUAAUACCAGAUCGAUAGUGCACAAGUACCGUGAGGGAAAGGUGAAAAGAACUGAGGUGAUCAGAGUGAAAUAGAACCUGAAACCAUUUGCUUACAAUCAUUCAGAGCCCUAUGUAGCAAUACAGGGUGAUGGACUGCCUUUUGCAUAAUGAGCCUGCGAGUUGUGGUGUCUGGCAAGGUUAAGCAAACGCGAAGCCGUAGCGAAAGCGAGUCUGAAUAGGGCGCUUAGUCAGAUGCUGCAGACCCGAAACGAAGUGAUCUAUCCAUGAGCAAGUUGAAGCUAGUGUAAGAACUAGUGGAGGACUGAACCCAUAGGCGUUGAAAAGCCCCGGGAUGACUUGUGGAUAGGGGUGAAAGGCCAAUCAAACUUCGUGAUAGCUGGUUCUCUCCGAAAUAUAUUUAGGUAUAGCGUUGUGUCGUAAUAUAAGGGGGUAGAGCACUGAAUGGGCUAGGGCAUACACCAAUGUACCAAACCCUAUCAAACUCCGAAUACCUUAUAUGUAAUCACAGCAGUCAGGCGGCGAGUGAUAAAAUCCGUCGUCAAGAGGGAAACAACCCAGACUACCAGCUAAGGUCCCUAAAUCUUACUUAAGUGGAAAACGAUGUGAAGUUACUUAAACAACCAGGAGGUUGGCUUAGAAGCAGCCAUCCUUUAAAGAAAGCGUAAUAGCUCACUGGUCUAGUGAUUUUGCGCGGAAAAUAUAACGGGGCUAAAGUAAGUACUGAAGCUGUAGACUUAGUUUACUAAGUGGUAGGAGAGCGUUCUAUUUGCGUCGAAGGUAUACCGGUAAGGAGUGCUGGAGCGAAUAGAAGUGAGCAUGCAGGCAUGAGUAGCGAUAAUUAAUGUGAGAAUCAUUAACGCCGUAAACCCAAGGUUUCCUACGCGAUGCUCGUCAUCGUAGGGUUAGUCGGGUCCUAAGUCGAGUCCGAAAGGGGUAGACGAUGGCAAAUUGGUUAAUAUUCCAAUACCAACAUUAGUGUGCGAUGGAAGGACGCUUAGGGCUAAGGGGGCUAGCGGAUGGAAGUGCUAGUCUAAGGUCGUAGGAGGUUAUACAGGCAAAUCCGUAUAACAAUACUCCGAGAACUGAAAGGCUUUUUGAAGUCUUCGGAUGGAUAGAAGAACCCCUGAUGCCGUCGAGCCAAGAAAAGUUUCUAAGUUUAGCUAAUGUUGCCCGUACCGUAAACCGACACAGGUGGGUGGGAUGAGUAUUCUAAGGCGCGUGGAAGAACUCUCUUUAAGGAACUCUGCAAAAUAGCACCGUAUCUUCGGUAUAAGGUGUGGUUAGCUUUGUAUUAGGAUUUACUCCGAAAGCAAGGAAACUUACAACAAAGAGUCCCUCCCGACUGUUUACCAAAAACACAGCACUCUGCUAACUCGUAAGAGGAUGUAUAGGGUGUGACGCCUGCCCGGUGCUCGAAGGUUAAUUGAUGGGGUUAGCAUUAGCGAAGCUCUUGAUCGAAGCCCGAGUAAACGGCGGCCGUAACUAUAACGGUCCUAAGGUAGCGAAAUUCCUUGUCGGUUAAAUACCGACCUGCAUGAAUGGCGUAACGAGAUGGGAGCUGUCUCAAAGAGGGAUCCAGUGAAAUUGUAGUGGAGGUGAAAAUUCCUCCUACCCGCGGCAAGACGGAAAGACCCCGUGGACCUUUACUACAGCUUGACACUGCUACUUGGAUAAGAAUGUGCAGGAUAGG